UGGGGAAUCUUGGACAAUGGGGGCAACCCUGAUCCAGCGAUGCCGCGUGAGUGAAGAAGGCCUUCGGGUCGUAAAGCUCUUUAGGCUGGGAAGAAGUGUGGUGGAGGAAAUGCCAUCAUGUUGACUGUACCAGCAGAAUAAGCACCGGCAAACUCUGUGCCAGCAGCCGCGGUAAUACAGAGGGUGCGAGCGUUGAUCGGAGUUACUGGGCGUAAAGGGCGCGUAGGCGGUUAUAUGAGUGUGAUGUGAAAGCCCCGGGCUUAACCUGGGAAGUGCAUCGCAAACGAUAUGACUGGAGUAGAUGAGAGGGUGAUGGAAUUUCCGGUGUAGCGGUGAAAUGCGUAGAGAUCGGAAGGAACGUCAAUGGCGAAGGCAGUCACCUGGCAUCAUACUGACGCUGAGGCGCGAAAGCGUGGGGAUCGAACAGGAUUAGAUACCCCUGUAGUCC
This 448-nucleotide ribosomal RNA is filed under the name uncultured bacterium. Its description in RNAcentral is "bacterial SSU rRNA". It matches the Rfam family "Bacterial small subunit ribosomal RNA", at positions 355 to 796 of the family's 1533-position model. The record is from RNAcentral.